AAACAGGAAGCAAAAAAUUGCACUUAGUUUCGACCUAAAAGUAAGAUGGAUAUCAUCCCUGUUUA
RNAcentral lists this transfer RNA (65 nucleotides) under Trichoferus campestris. RNAcentral describes it as "tRNA-Arg". The record is from RNAcentral. Lineage: Eukaryota; Metazoa; Arthropoda; Insecta; Coleoptera; Cerambycidae.